This 253-nucleotide ribosomal RNA is filed under the name uncultured bacterium. Its description in RNAcentral is "partial 16S ribosomal RNA". It matches the Rfam family "Bacterial small subunit ribosomal RNA", at positions 524 to 776 of the family's 1533-position model. The record is from RNAcentral.
UACGGAGGGACCGAGCGUUAUCCGGAAUCAUUGGGUUUAAAGGGUCCGUAGGCGGGACAUUAAGUCAGGGGUGAAAUGUUGCAGCUCAACUGCAGAAUGGCCUUUGAUACUAGUGAUCUUGAGUUAUGUUGCUGUGGUAGGAACAUGUGGUGUAGCGGUGAAAUGCAUAGAUAUCACAUAGAACGCGGAUUCCGAAGGCAGGUCACAAAGCAGAUACUGACGCUGAAAGGAGAACGCGAGGGGAGCGAACGGG